RNAcentral lists this unclassified non-coding RNA (345 nucleotides) under soil metagenome. RNAcentral's name for it is "partial contains 5.8S ribosomal RNA, internal transcribed spacer 2, and large subunit ribosomal RNA". The stretch from base 1 to 120 matches the Rfam family "5.8S ribosomal RNA", at positions 35 to 154 of the family's 154-position model. The record is from RNAcentral.
GAUGAAGAACGUAGCGAAAUGCGAUACGUAAUGUGAAUUGCAGAAUUCAGUGAAUCAUCGAGUCUUUGAACGCACAUUGCGUCCCCUGGUAUUCCGGGGGGCAUGCCUGUCCGAGCGUCAUUGCUGCCCUCAAGCACGGCUUGUGUGUUGGGCCUCCGUCCUCCUCCCGGGGGACGGGCCCGAAAGGCAGCGGCGGCACCGCGUCCGGUCCUCGAGCGUAUGGGGCUUCGUCACCCGCUUUUGUAGGCCCGGCCGGCGCUUGCCGACACAUCAAUCUUUUUUCCAGGUUGACCUCGGAUCAGGUAGGGAUACCCGCUGAACUUAAGCAUAUCAAUAAGCGGAGGA